UUACAAAACAUGAAUUUAUUUACAAGCAAAAUGAAACCAUGAUAUCUGAACAAACUUCUUAAAAAGGAAAACAAGUCUUUUAUUCUUAUAAAUAGAUGUACUUUAAAAUCAGUGACAUAAACCCACAAUUUUAGAAGUAAAAUAAGCUUCUCCAUUUUACAGAACAGUUAUCUAAUAAAAUAUAAAACUUAAAAGCAUCUACAACAUUUGUAGGUUUUUUUCAAAAAAGGAUUAAGCUUUUCCAGUCAAAAUUUUAAAAAAAUUCCAAAGUAUAUCAUGUUUGACAAUUUGCUUCCAAAUGGGAGUCUCUUUAGAGAAACUAAGUAACAAUUUUCAAACAACUAUGCCCCUCCAUUUGGUAGCUGGAAUCAUCUAAUUAAAACAAAGGUCUUUACUUCAAUGUAAAUAUGGCUAACACUCCAAUCCUGAUGGGUAUUUUUUCCCCUCCCUUAAAUUCAUAAGUACGUACAUAUUUCACUCCGAGACACCAUCACCAAAACAGAAAUGGAGGAUAACAUGGCAGAUGGAAGAUUACCUGGCUCUGGAAUAGCCGAAACUGGUGUGGGCCUCAUAUUCCUGACUUAUAAAAACAGAGAGUAUAAUCAUUCCUCAUGCUUACUUCGAAUUUUAAACUUUGCUAUGAAUUUGAAGAUAGACUUGAAUUUGAAGGUAGACUUCAUGCUCUUCUCCCUCCCCCCCAUCAAUUGACAGCAGUUAACCUGGAUUCUGGAGUCAGCCUGCCUACAUAUGAAUCCCAGCUCAGCCAGUUAUUUCGCAAUCUUGGGAAAAAUAUUUAAUCUCCCUUUACUCAGUUUCUUCAUGUGUAGAGCAGAUAUAUUAAAAACAGUACUGAUCCCACAAUGUUGUUAUGAUCCAUAAAAAACGUGGGUAAAGCACUUACAUCUGUGGCUAAUACAACAAUAUAGGAGGUUUCAAAUUUGUCACCAUCAUCAUUCACUGAGUGUGGGAAAAGAUCUUGUCUAUGUCCUAUGAAGUAAAGAAUGCCAUAUGGGAAGAUAUAUUAGGUUAAAUCACCUAAGACAUUAUAAAACACAAAAUUAUAAAACGCAAAAAUGAUUGCUUUUUAUAUUUACCUUAGCUUCAUAUAAUUUAGAAAAUAUUGUGAAUAACAUUAUAAUAAAUAGACAUGGAUGACUAUAAAUUACUUUGUAGUUCAAAACUUAAAACUAUAAAAAAAGGUUUUAACUCAGAUUAAGAAAGUUUAAUUACCAGAACACUCAGAAAUGUAGUACAAUAUCACCACCUAGUGGAUACUGUAUUUAAAAACAUUUUAUAGAUCGUGCUUGCCCUAUUUAUCUUUAGGAGGAAAAUCCUUUUCAAAUAGAAGCACAUUCUCUUCACUAAUGUAAAGGGGAUUUAAAAAAAUAGAAAACAAAUUUAAACUAUAUUAGCAGUAAUCUUAAACACUAUAGCUAAAAAUACCUCCUACUAAGUUGUGUAUCUCAAAUUUACUUCUAAACAAGGUAGCAGAGUUAAAAGUACAAUUUUUGUUCGGAAAUUUAAAAUAUAUUGAGGACAGCAUGCAAUUCACCAGAAAUACUUCACCAUGACUUCUCAAUUAAUGCAAAAAAUAUUAGUUGUAACAAACAAUGAAUUUCACAUCACUGGGUUGUGAAGCAUCUUAAAAAAAAACAUUUUACACUACCUACUAAUCUGAAUCUCUUCUGAAGCAUUCCUGAUAAACAGAAAUCUUGCCAAUGAGUGGGGAAACUUGUUCUUUUCUGGAUCCAUUCCCAGCCAGAGACUAAGUAAGUAAAGAAUGUAUGUUUUGAAUCAGUUGAAAUCUGUUGGCCUUUGAUAUAAACUUUAGGGAAUAAACAAUAGUCCACUCCUUUUUCCAAAUAAUUACUCUUCAAUUAUCAGAGCUUAUCAAGUUGUAGGAUCUCUACUUCUCCAAGUUAAGCGUCCUGUAUAUUCGUUUAAAAGCCAUUUAUCUUACAACUGUUUGUGCACCUUUAAAUAGCUGCUAGCAUUUUAAAAAAUGACUUCAUUCAAUACAAAAAAAUAGUAUGUCAUGAAUGUUCCGGCUAAUGCAAAGUAAAGACAGAAUACAAAUUCUCUCUCCAC
RNAcentral lists this long non-coding RNA (2088 nucleotides) under Canis lupus familiaris (dog). RNAcentral describes it as "lncRNA (ENSCAFG00000055540.1, ENSCAFG00805023651.1)". The record is from RNAcentral. Lineage: Eukaryota; Metazoa; Chordata; Mammalia; Carnivora; Canidae.